Molecule: ribosomal RNA, 459 nt
Filed under: uncultured bacterium
Lineage: Bacteria
Description: partial 16S ribosomal RNA
Rfam family: Bacterial small subunit ribosomal RNA
Source: RNAcentral
ACUACGGGUGGCAGCAGUGAGGAAUAUUGGUCAAUGGCCGGAAGGCUGAACCAGCCAAGCCGCGUGAAGGACGAAGGUGCCAAGCAUUGUAAACUUCUUUUGUCAAGGGACAAAAUCAGGCUCGAGAGCCUGACCGAGGGUACUUGAAGAAAAAGCAUCGGCUAACUCCGUGCCAGCAGCCGCGGUAAUACGGAGGAUGCGAGCGUUAUCCGGAGUGAUUGGGUUGAAAGGGUGCGUAGGCGGGCUGUUAAGUCAGCGGUAAAAGCCCGGGGCUAAACCCCGGCGAGCCGUUGAAACUGGCUGUCUUGAGUGGGCGAGAAGUAUGCGGAAUGCGUGGUGUAGCGGUGAAAUGCAUAGAUAUCACGCAGAACUCCGAUUGCGAAGGCAGCAUACCGGCGCCCGACUGACGCUGAGGCACGAAAGCGUGGGGAUCGAACAGGAUUAGAUACCCGAGUAGUC